AGGAAGCGAGAAGUCGACGCGCCGACCCCCGCAAGGGGGGCGAGGCGUCCGGCCCUCCGCGAGCAUCCGCGUGGGUGUGGGUUACGGACCCCGUCCGAUCCCGUUCCCACCGCGGGGCUGUCCGCGAUCAUGGAGGUGUCCUCGGACGGCGUCGAAUCACUCAAAGUUCUCCAGUCCGCGACGCUACGGCUUGGAUGGUCCACCCGACCCGUCUUGAAACACGGACCAAGGAGUCUAACAUGCGCGCGAGUCGUUGGGUCGGACACGCUCCGCUAAACCCAUAGGCGCAAUGAAAGUGAAGGCCGCCGUUCGGGCGGCCGAGGGAGGACGGGGCCGGCCGGGCGCUCCGGUGCUCGGCGGUCCCCGCACCCCCGGGGCGUCUGAUCCCUCAUCGCGAGGGGAGGCGCACCCAGAGCGCACACGUUGGGACCCGAAAGAUGGUGAACUAUGCCUGGCCAGGACGAAGUCAGGGGAAACCCUGAUGGAGGUCCGUAGCGAUUCUGACGUGCAAAUCGAUCGUCGGAGCUGGGUAUAGGGGCGAAAGACUAAUCGAACCAUCUAGUAGCUGGUUCCCUCCGAAGUUUCCCUCAGGAUAGCUUGCGCUCGGAGGAGAGUCUCAUCCGGUAAAGCGAAUGAUUAGAGGCCUUGGGGCCGAAACGGCUUCAACCUAUUCUCAAACUUUAAAUGGGUGAGAACUCCGGCUUGCUCGACCGAUCGAAGCCGGAGACGGGGCCGUCCCUCGGGGCGGACCCCCGGGAUCGGAGUGCAUAGUGGGCCACUUUUGGUAAGCAGAACUGGCGCUGUGGGAUGAACCAAACGACGGGUUAAGGCGCCCGAAUCGACGCUCAUGGGAAACCAUGAAAGGUGUUGGUUGCUUAAGACAGCAGGACGGUGGCCAUGGAAGUCGGAAUCCGCUAAGGAGUGUGUAAUAACUCACCUGCCGAAGCAACUAGCCCUGAAAAUGGAUGGCGCUGAAGCGUCGUGCCUAUACCCGGCCGUCGCGGCAGGGCGGACCCGGCCUCGCGUCGGGUGCCGCUUGAUGCGGCGACGAGUAGGAGGGUCGCGGCGGCGCGCGCAGAAGGGUCUGGGCUCGAGCCUGCCUGGAGCCGCCGCCGGUGCAGAUCUUGGUGGUAGUAGCAAAUACUCCAGCGAGGCCCUGGAGGACUGAUGUGGAGAAGGGUUUCGUGUGAACAGCCGUUGCACACGAGUCAGUCGAUCCUAAGCCCUAGGAGAAAUCCGACGCCAACGGCGACGGGAGAAAUUUUGAAAGAGAAAGAAACCCGUUGAUCGGGCGAAAGGGAAUCCGGUUCCUAUUCCGGAACCCGGCAGCGGAACCGCUGUUUGUCGGGCCCUCACAAGGGGUUCGUCAGGGUAACCUAAAAGGGCCCGGAGACGCCGUCGGGAGCCCCGGAAAGAGUUUUCUUUUCUGCAUGAGCGUUCGAGUUCCCUG
This 1450-nucleotide ribosomal RNA is filed under the name Griseargiolestes bucki. RNAcentral's name for it is "eukaryotic LSU rRNA". It matches the Rfam family "Eukaryotic large subunit ribosomal RNA", at positions 1 to 1722 of the family's 3401-position model. The record is from RNAcentral. RNAcentral also lists the same sequence under 1 other name. Lineage: Eukaryota; Metazoa; Arthropoda; Insecta; Odonata; Argiolestidae.